UCAGUAGUAGAGCGCUCACCUAGCACAUGUGAGGACACACUGGGUUCGAUCUUCAGCACCACAUAAAAAAAUAAAUAACUAAAAUAAAGGUAUAUACAACUAAAAAUAUUUUUAAAAAAGAAAUAAACUUUUAAAAGAUGCAUUUUUUUCAAAUAAAUGUAGCCAUCAGAAAUCAUGUUUAUGAGGACAAUGCAGUAAUAAUUUUGAAUCUGCUACUUUCUAUUGAUUGUCCUACUCCAGAUACUUUACAUAUACUGACUUAAACCUUUAUAGUUAACCCUUGUAGGCUGCAACACUAGAUGACUGGGUUUCCCCAGCAGUUUAAUUCUGGAUAAGUACACAAACUCCUUGUCCCUACGUUUUCCACCUGUGAAACAGGCUCCCGCAGCCCCUACCUCUGGAGCUACUGCACUUUCAGAUGAGAUGCUCAAAGUAAGGUGCUUAGAACAGAAUAUGGCAUAUUAUAAUCACUCAAUAAAUGUGUAUUAUUGCCAAAAAAGUUGAUAGUGCCCUGAAAGUUUAAACAUGACAAAAUCAAACCAAAACAGCCCAGAAGAAAAUGCAGGUGAACAUUUUUACAAUCCUAGGGUGAGGAAGACCUUUCUCGGCAUGAUAUCUAAGGCAGAAACACAGGCAAAGUAUUGAUAGAAUUGACCACAGUAAAGAUCACUCCAGAAUGGCAGAAAUCACCACAAAAUUGGAAACAUAAGCAAUAACUUGGAGGAAAAAAAGUUACAUAUUUGACAAGCAAGAAAAUUUAAUACACAAAGAGCACUUAUUUACUUAUUUAUUUAUUGUGGUUCUGGAGAUUAAACCUAGGGUACUCUAUCACUGAAGUAUAUCCUCAGCCCUUUUAAUUUGUUUUGAGACAAGGUCUUGCUAAGUUGUGGAGGCUGGCCAUGAACUUAUGAUCCUCCUGCCUCAGCCUUCUGAGUCACUGGGAUUAUGGGUGUGCAUCACUGUGCUGAGCCAUGAAUAGCUUUAAAAAUUAAACAGAAUGCAUAUGCAAAGGUAUUUUCCUAGAAAAAUAAUAGGCUAAAGGACAUAAACAGGAUGCGAGACACUUUGAUGUAGCCAAGAUAUCCCUGGGGACAUUUAGAAGGAGCCCUAUUAACCCAGCUGUUAUGACGUAUCGGUGUGCCACAGCUGCCCCAGUGAAAAUGUGCCUGCCCUUCCUCUGCCCCUAACCUCAGGUACACAGGACUUGUACUUCCUACUUUGUUCCUUCCUGCAUUAAUUUAAUUGACAAAUAUUUGUUAAUUAAAAUCAGGGAGAAAAGAGAAGAAAGGGGCUGUGGAUAUAGCUCGGUUAAUUGAGUGCUUGCCUCUCAUGCACAAGGCCUUGGGUUCAAACCCCAGCGUGCACACACACACACACACACACACACACAGAAAAAUGCUGUUAGGGUUAGCUUCUUAAGGUGGAACCAAAAUCAUCCUUUGGGGGUUGAGGGUGUGGCCAAAUGGUAGAGUAUCUUUUAGCACACAAGGCCCUGGAUUCCAUCACUAGCAUUGGGGGGGGAGUGGAUCUAAUCUUCAAAAAUAUGUGUCAUAGUAAAUACAAUAUUUUCAUAUUGAAUCCUGAGAGAAAAGUUGGAAAUUCAGUUAAAUAUUCCCUCUGUAGUCUGUAUCUGA
RNAcentral lists this long non-coding RNA (1634 nucleotides) under Marmota monax (woodchuck). Lineage: Eukaryota; Metazoa; Chordata; Mammalia; Rodentia; Sciuridae. The record is from RNAcentral.